This 1005-nucleotide long non-coding RNA is filed under the name Canis lupus familiaris (dog). RNAcentral's name for it is "lncRNA (ENSCAFG00845017477.1)". The record is from RNAcentral. Lineage: Eukaryota; Metazoa; Chordata; Mammalia; Carnivora; Canidae.
GGGAGGCAGGGCGCCCCGCGGGCCUGCAGGGCCUCGAGCCACCCACUUCCUGUGACGGGCCAGGCCAUCUGGGAUCCGGAAAUUAAGCCGGCCCUUCAAAUCCCCUCUGGGUCUCCGUGUUCCUGGGGUUUGACAGAACGUCCAGGCCUCCCUCAGCAGAGCCCCGCGUUCCUGCCCCGGGAAGGGGAAGGUGCUCGCAGGCCGCUGGCCGCAGGCCCCCGAAUCUCGAAGCUCGGAGGCUUUGGGCAGGGUCCCACCACGAAGCGGGCUCGGGGGCUGUGGCUCACCUUCCCUGAGAACCGGCCCGAGCCCCCCAGCCCCUGGGGCCGGCAUGUCCCGGGUCAGGGCAGGAGGACACAGGCUGUCAGGGUCCUGGUGGCCACGAGGGCUCCAGGGAAGGAAGCGGGGGGACCAGAGGGCUCUGCCCUGACUUGCCCCGGGGUCCUCCCGGGAGCCUCUGCCCACAGCCGGGGUGCUUGGGGAGGGCCAGCUGGUCCCCCUGCCCCCGGGGAAGCACUCGGGGCCCUGCCUGACUCGGCCCGGCCAGCUCCACACUCCGUGGUCCUGUCCCCCCGCAGAGCUCGGCCGCUCCUCCGUGUGGCCCAGCCCCCCACCCGCCUGUCCUCGGCGGCGACCCCCGGGUUCCCGCGGACAGCUGCGGGCCCUCCCUGCGGGCUCCCCCCUGCACCUGCCCGCUCUGCCCUCCCGGCCAGCCCGGGGCUCCCCGAGGGCACCUGCCUGCCAGCAGCCGCAGCACUUGCCGAGGACCGCUGGCGCCACGAGGUCAGAGCCCCUGGAGGUCAGCUUCUCGGUUGCAAAUUUGUCCGUCAUGUUCCAGGAGGGCAGGGGACCUCGCAGCUUGGUCCGGGGAAGGGGGCUCUCAGGCCCCCGCGCUCCUCGGUGGGAUGGAGCAGUGUCGUCCAGGACGGAGGAGGAACAGGUCAUGGGUGGGGGAGGACGGUGGUCCGAGGGCUCAGCCAGACCCACGUGCCCCAGACUCAGUGA